RNAcentral lists this ribosomal RNA (263 nucleotides) under Pseudomonas aeruginosa. Its description in RNAcentral is "partial 23S ribosomal RNA". It matches the Rfam family "Bacterial large subunit ribosomal RNA", at positions 2160 to 2422 of the family's 2925-position model. The record is from RNAcentral. Lineage: Bacteria; Pseudomonadati; Pseudomonadota; Gammaproteobacteria; Pseudomonadales; Pseudomonadaceae.
AAGCGUGGACGCCAGUUCGCGUGGAGCCAUCCUUGAAAUACCACCCUGGCAUGCUUGAGGUUCUAACUCUGGUCCGUAAUCCGGAUCGAGGACAGUGUAUGGUGGGCAGUUUGACUGGGGCGGUCUCCUCCUAAAGAGUAACGGAGGAGUACGAAGGUGCGCUCAGACCGGUCGGAAAUCGGUCGUAGAGUAUAAAGGCAAAAGCGCGCUUGACUGCGAGACAGACACGUCGAGCAGGUACGAAAGUAGGUCUUAGUGAUCCG